This 393-nucleotide ribosomal RNA is filed under the name uncultured bacterium. Its description in RNAcentral is "bacterial SSU rRNA". It matches the Rfam family "Bacterial small subunit ribosomal RNA", at positions 96 to 524 of the family's 1533-position model. The record is from RNAcentral.
CGGCGGACGGGUUAGUAACGCGUGGGAAUAUGCCCAAAGGUACGGAAUAGCCUCUGGAAACGGAGAGUAAUACCGUAUGUGCCCUUCGGGGGAAAGAUUUAUCGCCUUUGGAUUAGCCCGCGUUAGAUUAGGUAGUUGGUGGGGUAAUGGCCUACCAAGCCUACGAUCUAUAGCUGGUUUUAGAGGAUGAUCAGCAACACUGGGACUGAGACACGGCCCAGACUCCUACGGGAGGCAGCAGUGGGGAAUCUUGGACAAUGGGGGCAACCCUGAUCCAGCCAUGCCGCGUGAGUGAUGAAGGCCUUAGGGUCGCAAAGCUCUUUCGCCUGUGAAGAUAAUGACGGUAGCAGGUAAAGAAACCCCGGCUAACUCCGUGCCAGCAGCCGCGGUAAU